Molecule: ribosomal RNA, 253 nt
Filed under: uncultured bacterium
Lineage: Bacteria
Description: partial 16S ribosomal RNA
Rfam family: Bacterial small subunit ribosomal RNA
Source: RNAcentral
UACGUAGGGGGCAAGCGUUAUCCGGAUUUACUGGGUGUAAAGGGAGCGUAGGUGGUUCGGUAAGUCAGAUGUGAAAGCCCGGGGCUCAACCCCGGGACUGCAUUUGAAACUAUCGAACUAGAGUGCGGGAGAGGUAAGUGGAAUUCCUAGUGUAGCGGUGAAAUGCGUAGAUAUUAGGAGGAACACCAGUGGCGAAGGCGGCUUACUGGACUGUAACUGACACUGAGGCUCGAAAGCGUGGGGAGCAAACAGG